AAACUAAGUGAUCUAAUUAUGGUUAAGUUGAAUAUAUUAUAAAAAAUAUGGGAAGACUGUACUCAUGUAUGUGGAAAAAUACUGGGAUAAACUGUGAUUAGGGGUGAAAGGCUAAUCAAACUUAGAGAUAGCUGGUUUUUUGCGAAAUUUAUGUGCGUAAAGUGUUAUAUAGUUAAUAAUUAUUAAGGGUAGAGCACUUAUUAAUCUUUGGGGGAGGUAAUGCUCUUACCAAAAUUAUAGAAACUCCGAAUAUUAAUAAUUUAAAUAUAAUAAACAGACUGUAGGAGCUAAGUUCUAUGGUCAAAAGGGAAAUAGCCCAGAUUAACAGCUAAGGUCUUAAAUUAUUUAUUAAGUAUAACAAAAGUGAAUAAAAAUGAAAAUUUUUGGGAGGUAGGCUUAGAAGCAGCAAUCCUAUAAUGAAAGCGUAAAAGCUCACCAAUUUAAAUUAAUUUAUUUGCUGAAAAUGUAAGAGAUUUGAAUAAAUAACCGAAGCUUUAAAUAUAUUAUAAAAAUAUAUGGUAGCAAAAUGUUUUGUUUUUUUAUAAAAUUUUAUUGUAAAAUAAAAUAGAGAAAUCAAAAUUAAGAAUACUAAUAUUAGUAACGAUAAAUAGAAUAUAUAAGAAUCUAUCACUGAAAAUUUAAGGUUUUCUCUGUUCUGUUAAUCUACAGAGAGUUAAGAGCGGUCUCUAAGGUAAUUUUUGUAAAAAAAUAUUGAUGAGUUUUUUAAUUAAUAAUUUAAAAAAUUUACUUUAAAAUUAUAAUUUUUAUUUGACAAUAUUUAUAACCUAAUUUUUAAUGUAAUAAAAUUAAUUUUAUAGUAUAAAUAUGCAGGAAAUAAAAUAAAAAUUUAAUAAAGUAAUUAACCGUACUAAAACCGACACAGGUGGAUUAGUAGAGUAUACUAAAGUGCUUAAGAGAACAAUACUGAAGGAACUCGGCAAAAUAACUCUGUAACUUUGGGAGAAAGAGUAUCAUCGGGAACGAUGAUGUUACAUAACAGGGGAUGGCGACUGUUUAUUAAAAACACAGGACUCUGCAAAAUUUUAAAAUGAUGUAUAGGGUCUGAUGCCUGCCCGGUGCUGUGAAGUGAAAAGGAGAGGUUUAAAAAGCUUCAAAUAUAAACAACAGUAAACGGCAGCUGUAAACUUAACGGUUCUAAGGUAGCGAAAUUCCUUGUCGGCUAAUUACUGACGUGCAUGAAUGGUUUAACGACUGUCCCACUGUCUCCAGUAUUGACUUAGUGAAGUUGAAUUUUCCGUGAAGAUGCGGUGUUAUAAUGGCUAGACGGAAAGACCCCGUGCACCUUUACUACAAUUAUACAUUAAUAUUUUUAUUUUAAGUAUGUAGAAUAAAUAAGAGCUUAUGAUUAUUUUACGUUAGUAAAACUAGGAGGCAUUCCUGAAAUAUUAUUUAUUUAAAAUUAGAUAUUUAACUUUAAUAAAGAACAUUGUAUGAGUGGUAGUUUGACUGGGGUGGUCACCUUCUAAAGUGUAACGAAGGUGUGCAAAGGUAAACUCUAAUUAAUAUUUUUGUAUUAAUUUAUUGAGUAUAAUGGCAUAAGUUUGCUUAACUGGUUAAUAGACAUAUUAAACAGAAACGUAAGUUGGUCAUAGUGAUCCGAUAAUACUAAAUGGAAAGGUUAUCGCUUAACGGAUAAAAGGUACGCCGGGGAUAACAGGCUAAUGACUUUCGAGAGUUCAUAUCGACGAAGUUGUUUGGCACCUCUAUGUCGAUUCAUCACAUCCUGGAGCUGAAAGAGGUUCCAAGGGUUCGGUUGUUCGCCGAUUAAAGUGGUACGUGAAUUGGGUUUAGAACGUCGUGAGACAGUUUGGUCCCUAUCUACCAUUAUAAAACUAUUAAAAAUUAAAAUACUAAUUCUUGUACGAGAGGACCGAAUUGGUUAUACCACUGGUGUUUGGAUUGUUUAUGUAAAGCAUUGUCCAGUAGCUACGUAUAAAAAAUCUAAUUACUGAAACCAUAUAAGUAAGAAGGUUAGUUUAAUUUUUAAUUAAAAUAUAUUUAAGAUAAAAAUAUUGUUAGGUUAAGAUUAAAAGUAUAGUAAUAUAUUUAGUGUUAUUAAUACUAAAUUUAAAACAUUUAAAUU
RNAcentral lists this ribosomal RNA (2104 nucleotides) under microbial mat metagenome. RNAcentral's name for it is "bacterial LSU rRNA". It matches the Rfam family "Bacterial large subunit ribosomal RNA", at positions 718 to 2925 of the family's 2925-position model. The record is from RNAcentral.